UUCACCAUCAAGGUGAAGAAGCAACAGAGCCAGUGAUUACAAUUAAAGUAAAUUGAGCAUGGCGUGUUAAUGGAAAGGAAAUUGAGCCUCUAAAAUUCUGAAUUAAAUCUGGAAUCUUGAUCCAGGCCAAGUCUAGUUUCUAGAGCUAUAGUGAAACAGAUUGAAUGCAGGCUCAACCAGCAAAUUUAAACAAAAGAAAUCCUUUUGCUAAAACAGAGAAGAGUCUAACCUGACCUUGCAAUCAGAAACUAGCAUUUCAAUUUUCCAAUAUUACAAACUAACCAAAGAUUUAGGUGGCUUAUGCAACGAGUGUCCUGAAUUAUGUCAACUCCAGGAGAAAUUUUACAAAAGCAAUACAAUUCUGUAUCAUCUCCAAUGAUUCUGCGCCUCCAAUUAGUACAAGAACAGAACAGGUAAUGAGUGUAGAUUGAUGUCAGUCCAUUAGCAUUCAAAGCUAGACAUUGCCCAUUUGAGGCUUUUAGCUUUGCCAAGAUGGACUGAGAUAGAAAUAACAGCAAGCCAUAAACAAAAAGUUACAAUCAACCCUAUAAAUAACAGUACAUUUUAUGUAUCAUCUCCAAUGAUUCUGAACUACCAUUGAGUACAAGGUGGACAGAACAGGUAAUGAGAGUAGAUUGAUGUGAGUCCAUUAGCAUUCAAAACUAGACAUUGCCCAUCUGAGGCUUUUAGCUUUGCCAAGAUGGACUAAGGUAGAAAUAACAGCAAGCCAUAAACGAAAAGUUACAAUCAACCCUAUAAAUACAUUCACCAAGGAAAUAACUACACAGUUCAUCUUUAAACACUUAGCAAUGCUGUAGCAAUCAUGUUUCAUCUCCACUGAUCUGCAUCUCCAUUGAAUAUAAAGCACAGAACAGUCUAGAGAGAACAAAUUGAUUUUAGUCCAUUAGCAUUCAAAGCUAAACAUUGCCCAUCUGAGGCUUUUAGCUUUGCCAAGAUGGACUAAGAUAGAAAUAACAGCAAGCCAUAAACGAAAAGUUACAACCAACCCUAAAAAUACAUUCACCAAGGAAAUAACCACACAGUUCAUCUUUAAACACUUAGCAAUGCUGUAGCAAUCAUGUUUCAUCUCCACUGAUCCGCAUCUCCAUUGAAUAUAAAGCACAGAACAGUCUAGAGAGAACAAAUUGAUUUUAGUCCAUUAGCAUUCAAAGCUAAACAUUGCCCAUCUGAGGCUUUUAGCUUUGCCAAGAUGGACUAAGAUAGAAAUAACAGCAAGCAAUAAACGAAAAGUUACAACCAACCCUAAAAAUACAUUCACCAAGGAAAUAACCACACAGUUCAUCUUUAAACACUUAGCAAUGCUGUAGCAAUCAUGUUUCAUCUCCACUGAUCCGCAUCUCCAUUGAAUAUAAAGCACAGAACAGUCUAGAGAGAACAAAUUGAUUUUAGUCCAUUAGCAUUCAAAGCUAAACAUUGCCCAUAGGACUCUUUAGCUUU
Molecule: long non-coding RNA, 1458 nt
Filed under: Populus trichocarpa (black cottonwood)
Lineage: Eukaryota; Viridiplantae; Streptophyta; Magnoliopsida; Malpighiales; Salicaceae
Description: long non-coding RNA (PTRI_LNC002183)
Source: RNAcentral